This 72-nucleotide transfer RNA is filed under the name Ipomoea nil (Japanese morning glory). It matches the Rfam family "tRNA". From Rfam's summary of the family: Transfer RNA (tRNA) molecules are approximately 80 nucleotides in length. Their secondary structure includes four short double-helical elements and three loops (D, anti-codon, and T loops). The record is from Rfam by way of RNAcentral. Lineage: Eukaryota; Viridiplantae; Streptophyta; Magnoliopsida; Solanales; Convolvulaceae.
GAUUUCACGGCCCAAUGGAUAAGGUGCUGGUCUACAAAACCAGAGAUUCUGGGUUCGAUCUUUGUGGAGUCG